This 482-nucleotide ribosomal RNA is filed under the name uncultured bacterium. RNAcentral describes it as "partial 16S ribosomal RNA". It matches the Rfam family "Bacterial small subunit ribosomal RNA", at positions 30 to 507 of the family's 1533-position model. The record is from RNAcentral.
AUUGAACGCUGGCGGCAUGCUUUACACAUGCAAGUCGAACGGUAACAGGCCGCAAGGUGCUGACGAGUGGCGAACGGGUGCGUAAUGCAUCGGAACGUGCCCAGUCGUGGGGGGUAACUACUCGAAAGAGUAGCUAAUACCUCAUACGAUCUAUGGAUGAAAGCGGGGGACCGUAAGGCCUCGCGCGAUUGGAGCGGCCGAUGUCAGAUUAGGUAGUUGGUGGGGUAAAGGCUCACCAAGCCAACGAUCUGUAGCUGGUCUGAGAGGACGACCAGCCACACUGGGACUGAGACACGGCCCAGACUCCUACGGGAGGCAGCAGUGGGGAAUUUUGGACAAUGGGCGCAAGCCUGAUCCAGCAAUGCCGCGUGCAGGAAGAAGGCCUUCGGGUUGUAAACUGCUUUUGUACGGAACGAAACGGCUCUGGUUAAUACCCGGGGCUAAUGACGGUACCGGAAGAAUAAGCACCGGCUAACUACGUG